RNAcentral lists this transfer RNA (75 nucleotides) under Halarcobacter anaerophilus. Its description in RNAcentral is "Arcobacter anaerophilus tRNA-Gln". It matches the Rfam family "tRNA". Rfam says of the family: Transfer RNA (tRNA) molecules are approximately 80 nucleotides in length. The record is from RNAcentral. Lineage: Bacteria; Pseudomonadati; Campylobacterota; Epsilonproteobacteria; Campylobacterales; Arcobacteraceae.
UGGGGUAUCGCCAAGUGGUAAGGCAACGGUUUUUGGUAUCGUCAUCCGCAGGUUCGAAUCCUGCUACCCCAUCCA